RNAcentral lists this small RNA (114 nucleotides) under Sinorhizobium meliloti 2011. RNAcentral's name for it is "putative ncRNA". The record is from RNAcentral. Lineage: Bacteria; Pseudomonadati; Pseudomonadota; Alphaproteobacteria; Hyphomicrobiales; Rhizobiaceae.
CUGCCCGUCAAGGAAUCCAGCCGGGCGGAAUCCUUGGGCUGAAAAGACUCACCCGCGCCGCAGACGCGGCGCUGCUGGAUCCCUGUGACGAGCACAGGGAUGAGGGUGGAACGG